Molecule: ribosomal RNA, 635 nt
Filed under: Eisenia fetida (common brandling worm)
Lineage: Eukaryota; Metazoa; Annelida; Clitellata; Crassiclitellata; Lumbricidae
Description: partial 16S ribosomal RNA
Rfam family: Bacterial large subunit ribosomal RNA
Source: RNAcentral
UCUGCGUUCUCCCAUAAGAAGUAAUUCCUGCCCAGUGAACUCAUUUCAACGGCCGCGGUAUCCUAACCGUGCAAAGGUAGCAUAAUCACUUGCCCAUUAAUUGUGGGCUAGAAUGAAAGGACCAACGAAAUAAAAACUGUCUCUAUAAGUAACAUAAAAAUUAAUCUCUAACUGAAGAUUGUUAGAUAGCAUCGAAGGACAAGAAGACCCUAUAGAGCUUUAUUUUUACAAAUAACUAAAAUUUAUAUAAAAUUCGGUUGGGGCGACCGGGGAAAUUGGCUAUCAUCCCCUAAUAACAGAUAAAUAAAUCACAUACUUGACCCUUUCUAAAGAUCAUUAAAACAAGCUACCUUAGGGAUAACAGGCUAAUCCCGCUAAAGAGUCCUUAUCAAUAGCAGGGUUUGGCACCUCGAUGUUGGCUUAGGGAAUCUAUAUGGCGCAAAAGUCAUAUAAAGAUGGUUUGUUCAACCAAUAAUACCCUACAUGAGCUGAGUUCAGACCGGCGUAAGCCAGGUUAGUUUCUAUCCUCGAUUAAAAUAUCUAUUUAUAGUACGAAAGGACCUAAAUAUGAAUAAUAAUUAUAUCUCAAGAAUAAAUAUAAAAUUUAUGCCAAAUAAAUAUAUACCUAUACUAGG